RNAcentral lists this ribosomal RNA (245 nucleotides) under uncultured bacterium. RNAcentral's name for it is "partial 16S ribosomal RNA". It matches the Rfam family "Bacterial small subunit ribosomal RNA", at positions 524 to 769 of the family's 1533-position model. The record is from RNAcentral.
UACGUAGGUGGCAAGCGUUAUUCGGAAUUACUAGGCGUAAAGGACAGGUAGGUGGUCAAGUAAGUUGAAAGUGAAAUCCCCAGUCAAACCUGGGAGGGUCUUUCAAAACUACUUGGCUUGAGUGUAGGGGGGGGAAUCGGAAUUCCUGGUGUAGCGGUGAAAUGCGUAGAUAUCAGGAGGAACACCGAUGGCGAAAGCGGAUUCCUAUCCUACUACUGACACUGAUCUGUGAAGGCGCGGGGAGC